UUAUUGGAGAGUUUGAUCCUGGCUCAGGACGAACGCUGGCGGCGUGCCUAAUACAUGCAAGUCGAGCGGAGUUUAUCCUUCGGGGUAAGCUUAGCGGCGGACGGGUGAGUAACACGUAGGCAACCUGCCCCUUAGCCUGGGAUAACUACCGGAAACGGUAGCUAAUACCGGAUAAUCCCU
RNAcentral lists this ribosomal RNA (180 nucleotides) under Paenibacillus sp. PastH-2. RNAcentral's name for it is "partial 16S ribosomal RNA". It matches the Rfam family "Bacterial small subunit ribosomal RNA", at positions 1 to 181 of the family's 1533-position model. RNAcentral also lists the same sequence under 4 other names. The record is from RNAcentral. Lineage: Bacteria; Bacillati; Bacillota; Bacilli; Caryophanales; Paenibacillaceae.